CAAUCCCCAGCACCACAUAAAAAUAAAUAAAAUAAAGGUGUUUUGUCAAACUACAACUAAACAAUAAAUUAAAAAAAAAUACAAAAUAGGGCUGGGGAUGUGGCUCAGUGGUCUAGUGCCCCUGAGUUCAAUUCCCUGGUACCCACCCUCCCCCAAAUAUAUAUAUCAUCAAAUUGGUCAGGCAUGACUUUUGCUGGUCACUCUGCCCCUUUUGCUCACUUAAAAUCACCUCUAUUCUCUGACCUAGGGAGACUUGUACAUGCCUGGUUUUUUCUAUUCACAAAGAUUAAGAGAUUUAGAAUGGAGUCUUUUGGGGAGGUAGUUGUUAAAGUUGGGGCAUUUGAUGCCUACAUAGAGUCCUUCACAGGAGAAAUAGGAUUUGCUUUUUAUCCCCUCCUUCCCCCACUGCUCUUGGGAGAAGAAGCUCUUGAAAGUGCUUGUGUGCCUGUAUAAAACCACCACUUUAUCCCCAUUCUCCAUGGUCUAGAGAGGCACAUAUGAAAGUCUGCUUCCAGAGCUAGGAGGUUCAGGAUGCAGUCCCUAAACUUCCUAGGUGUAAAGUUAGAUGCUUGAUAUAAGGGGAAAAUGGAUUGUUUUUUAAGUAACCUCUCUACACUGCUCCUGGGGAAUGAAGUCCUUGAAAGUGCUGUGCUCUGUUUAAGUCUCUUGAUUUUUUCCCCUGUGAUCUGGAGAAACUUGUGUGUAUUCUCCUCUGCUCCCAGCGUGAAGCCCAAAUCCUCUUCUCCAUAGGGAGAAGCCAGAAUGUUGGGGAUUACUUUUCCAGUUUUAGGUGCUGUGCCUAGAGCUGGGCUCCUGGCCUCAUGUUCCUCUUCUUUUCCUGUCCUGUCUUACAUGUGAUUGUUUUCUCAAAUUGCCCAGUGGGUAGGAGCAAACAGCUACUCCAGCUUUCUCUCAGAGGGAAUUGAUCCCAUGAGUAGAGCUUUUAUGUGAUGCACUUGUGGGUGGACGGAGAGCCAGAGCUGCUGCUUCUACAAUGUUGCUGAUGUCACUUGUUGAUCUUCUCUUAUUUUAGGUUCCUUUUCCCAAUUUUAAUUGGUAAAGGACUACGUGUUCUAUAUGUUAAGAAAAAUGUUUCCUGUACUUAUUUUCCCUUUGAAAACAUUCCCAUUCCAUUAUUAGCU
This 1142-nucleotide long non-coding RNA is filed under the name Marmota monax (woodchuck). The record is from RNAcentral. Lineage: Eukaryota; Metazoa; Chordata; Mammalia; Rodentia; Sciuridae.